GGGAAGUGGGGGGUUCCUUUACAAUGGCAAGUCGAACGAUGAAGGGAGCUUGCUCCUGGAUUAGUGGCGAACGGGUGAGUAACACGUGAGUAACCUGCCCUUGACUCUGGGAUAAGCCUGGGAAACUGGGUCUAAUACCGGAUAUGACCUUCCAUCGCAUGGUGGUUGGUGGAAAGCUUUUGUGGUUUUGGAUGGACUCGCGGCCUAUCAGCUUGUUGGUGGGGUAAUGGCCUACCAAGGCGACGACGGGUAGCCGGCCUGAGAGGGUGACCGGCCACACUGGGACUGAGACACGGCCCAGACUCCUACGGGAGGCAGCAGUGGGGAAUAUUGCACAAUGGGCGCAAGCCUGAUGCAGCGACGCCGCGUGAGGGAUGACGGCCUUCGGGUUGUAAACCUCUUUCAGUAGGGAAGAAGCGAGAGUGACGGUACCUGCAGAAGAAGCGCCGGCUAACUACGUGCCAGCAGCCGCGGUAAUACGUAGGGCGCAAGCGUUAUCCGGAAUUAUUGGGCGUAAAGAGCUCGUAGGCGGUUUGUCGCGUCUGCCGUGAAAGUCCGGGGCUCAACUCCGGAUCUGCGGUGGGUACGGGCAGACUAGAGUGAUGUAGGGGAGACUGGAAUUCCUGGUGUAGCGGUGAAAUGCGCAGAUAUCAGGAGGAACACCGAUGGCGAAGGCAGGUCUCUGGGCAUUAACUGACGCUGAGGAGCGAAAGCAUGGGGAGCGAACAGGAUUAGAUACCCUGGUAGUCCAUGCCGUAAACGUUGGGCACUAGGUGUGGGGGACAUUCCACGUUUUCCGCGCCGUAGCUAACGCAUUAAGUGCCCCGCCUGGGGAGUACGGCCGCAAGGCUAAAACUCAAGGAUUGACGGGGCCCGCACAAGCGGCGGAGCAUGCGGAUAAUCGAUGCACGCGAGACUUACCAAGGCUUGACAUGACCGGACCGGCUGAAACAGUCUUUCCCUGUGGCUGUUACAGUGGUGCAUGUGUCGUCAGCUCGUGUCGUGAGAAUGUGGGUAGUCCCGCACGAGCGCACCUCGUUCUUAUGUGCCAGACUGAUGGUGGGACUCAUAAGAAACUGCGGGGUCAACUCGAGAA
This 1096-nucleotide ribosomal RNA is filed under the name Pseudarthrobacter enclensis. RNAcentral's name for it is "bacterial SSU rRNA". It matches the Rfam family "Bacterial small subunit ribosomal RNA", at positions 30 to 1171 of the family's 1533-position model. Lineage: Bacteria; Bacillati; Actinomycetota; Actinomycetes; Micrococcales; Micrococcaceae. The record is from RNAcentral.